This is a long non-coding RNA of Tupaia belangeri chinensis (Chinese tree shrew), 756 nucleotides long. RefSeq lists it as uncharacterized. Lineage: Eukaryota; Metazoa; Chordata; Mammalia; Scandentia; Tupaiidae. The transcript is spliced from 3 exons. The record is from RefSeq and is a predicted model, not a curated record.
UUCUGCAAGGUGCUUUCACAGAAAGCCAAUUGUACCCUUGAAAAUGACGUUCUGAGUCCCAAAGGGGCAAGAGUGAGGCUUUAGAUCCCAUGGGAAAGCCAGAAGGCAUUGGUUCUAGUGGCUUUGGGAGGUGCCAAAGCUCUUUCUCUGGAGACCUAAGAACAAAACAGAUCAGGCAGGUUGCUAAUGAAACGAAAAAGACACGCUGAGCGUCUGAGCGAUUCACUUGGGCUUUAGUUCCCAGUGAGUCAUAGAAGGCUAAGCCCAGCGAAAAGUUCAUAUUGGGAGACUGGAACAAGAGCUGCUGCGGGAACAAGACUAACACCUUCCUAGAAGCAAAAGGACCACUUUUUUCCAGCUAGAAAAAUCUGGUGGAAGAAGGGAUGGAAAAAGAGUUUGGUGAAGGAGGUCUCUUCCGGACCAUCCGGUUUGGUGACAAGUUUCUGGAGUGGCGCAGGGGAACAGUACUGAGCUGCCAUGCCAGACCACACGGAUGACCAGGAGCUCGAAUCCCAAGCUGACCUGAGACACACCAGAAUGGAGAAACUGAGGCACAGAGUCGGUCAAUAACUUGCCUGAGGUCACGCAGAGGGUGUGUGGUCAAGCCUCCUGACAUCUGAGCUGAACAAUGCUUCUGGACUCAGGAGAAGGGAGAGAAAUGUGAGGCUUGGUAGCCAGGAAGGCAUCCUGGUGGAGGUGGAGACAGGAAGCUAGACAGACAUCUGAAGAGAUGGCUGAAGCUGGGGUAGGCCAUAA